UACGAGAGGCCCAAACGUUAUUCGGAUUUACUGGGCUUAAAGAGUCCGUAGGCGGCGCAGAAAGUGGGGUGUGAAAGCCCUCGGCUUAACCGAGGAAUUGCGCUCCAAACUACUGUGCUUGAGGAAUCUAGAGGUGAGCGGAACUGAUGGUGGAGCGGUGAAAUGCGUUGAUAUCAUCAGGAACACCGGAGGCGAAGGCGGCUCACUGGGGAUUUUCUGACGCUGAGGGACGAAAGCCAGGGGAGCGAACGGG
This 253-nucleotide ribosomal RNA is filed under the name uncultured bacterium. RNAcentral describes it as "partial 16S ribosomal RNA". It matches the Rfam family "Bacterial small subunit ribosomal RNA", at positions 524 to 776 of the family's 1533-position model. The record is from RNAcentral.